AAAAUGACAAACCAUGGAUUUCCGUGUUCAACGUUUGACCGUUCGUCUUAUUUGAAAAAAUUAUGAAAAAAAAAAAUUAAAAAGACAAGUCACGCAUAAAGUAUUAAUCAUGUUUUAUCAUCUAACAACAAUGAAAAUAGUAAUUAUAAAAAAAAUCAUAUAAGACGGACAGUCAACCGUUAGACACGGAAACCUAGGGUUUGUUUUUUU
Oryza sativa Japonica Group (Japanese rice) is the source of this 210-nucleotide microRNA precursor. It matches the Rfam family "MIR812 microRNA precursor family". The record is from Rfam. NCBI's taxonomy places the organism in Eukaryota, Viridiplantae, Streptophyta, Magnoliopsida, Poales, Poaceae.